GAUGAACGCUGGCGGCGUGCUUAACACAUGCAAGUCGAACGGGAAACCUUUUAUUGAAGCUUCGGCAGAUUUCGCUGGUUUCUAGUGGCGGACGGGUGAGUAACGCGUGGGUAACCUGCCUUAUACAGGGGGAUAACAACCAGAAAUGGUUGCUAAUACCGCAUAAGCGCACAGGACCGCAUGGUCCGGUGUGAAAAACUCCGGUGGUAUAAGAUGGACCCGCGUUGGAUUAGCUAGUUGGCAGGGUAACGGCCUACCAAGGCGACGAUCCAUAGCCGGCCUGAGAGGGUGAACCGCCACAUUGGGACUGAGACACGGCCCAGACUCCUACGGGAGGCAGCAGUGGGGAAGAUUGCACAAUGGGGGAAACCCGGAUGCAGCGACGCCGCGUGAAGGAAGAAGUAUCUCGGUAUGUAAACUUCUAUCAGCAGGGAAGAUAGUGACGGUACCUGACUAAGAAGCCCCGGCUAACUACGUG
This 478-nucleotide ribosomal RNA is filed under the name uncultured bacterium. RNAcentral describes it as "partial 16S ribosomal RNA". It matches the Rfam family "Bacterial small subunit ribosomal RNA", at positions 28 to 507 of the family's 1533-position model. The record is from RNAcentral.